GAACAAAAUCAGGGGAAACGAGAAAAAGUAGAGUAAAUUUUCACUAAUCAAUUACUACAAUCUAAUCUCCUUUUACCUCAUUUUACUGUAUUGUUUCUCCCACAACAUUUCUUUAAAUGCAUUGUAAUCUGAGAUGAUUUUCUCGUUUAGCAUCAGACAAUGCAGAAUAUUCAUAAUGCAUGGAACACUUAAAAGUUUCAAAGUAAUUUGCUUCCAUUCUGCAGAUGUGACUCAUUUCCAAAUCAGCACAAGCCAUGUUAACUAAUUGGAGAUGAUAUAAUUAAGUAACAAAAACAGAAAAGAAAAAAAGAGAGAGGAAAAAAUAUAAAGAAAAAUUCUAGUGAACAUGAAGUGGUAAGGUAUUCUAUUCAAUGGCUACUUCACAAGGAAAGCAAGCUAUGUCACUGAUAUGUUGAUAAUGAAGUGGUCCUUCUAUCACGUAACAUGGGAAUAAAGCAAUCUGCUAUAUGAACAAGCUGCUUGCCAGACUUGCUUGGCUUGGAACUGCGUUUCUUUAUAAUGCUUUAGUAGGACUACUGUACCUCAAAUACUAGCAAACUGAUAAAGAGAACACCUUCUUCACUCUACCAGUCUUAAAAGCACUUAGGAGCUUCCACUGAUAUUUAUACUGCUCAUUAUUCCAUUAAAAUCUGAUCUUAAUUCAGGAUCAAGUGUGUAGUCAUUCUGUGUGUUCUUAUUUAUGAAAUUGGAGGGCACUCUUCGAAGCAUUUUCUAGUCACUACAUAUUAAAUGAAGUGUAAUGACAUCUGAAAUAGCUGAAGGAAAAAAGGUAUUUUGAAUGAUGUUGUAAGUAUAAAAAGUACUAUGAUCUAAAAAAAUACCCUUUUUCGUUGGUAUUUCUGCCAUAUUCUAGGGAUAGCCUACAUUGCUUUUGAGAGUGAAUAAAAAAUUUAUAGGUCAGAUUUUACUGUUUUUCAAAAAUUAUGUCUUAUCUAUCAGCAUUUAGCAUUAAGUGAGGCUGUGUUUAAUUUGCACCUGCAAUUGGAAUGUAGAAAAUUGAGACAAAAAGUAAAAAGCAGCCUUAAACUUAGAAAGU
This 1057-nucleotide long non-coding RNA is filed under the name Mus musculus (house mouse). RNAcentral describes it as "long non-coding RNA chr15:40900532-40901589". Lineage: Eukaryota; Metazoa; Chordata; Mammalia; Rodentia; Muridae. The record is from RNAcentral.